GAUGAAGAACGUAGCGAAAUGCGAUACGUAAUGUGAAUUGCAGAAUUCAGUGAAUCAUCGAAUCUUUGAACGCAUAUUGCGCUCUCUGGUAUUCCGGAGAGCAUGCUUGUUUGAGUAUCAGUAAACACCUCAACUCCCUUUUCUUUUUUGAAAUUGGAGCUGGACUUGAGUGAUCCCAACGCUUUCUUCCAAGAAAGUGGCGGGUUGCUUGAAAUGCAGGUGCAGCUGAACUUUUCUCUGAGCUAUAAGCAUAUCUAUUUAGUCUGCCUAAAAAACAGAUUAUUACCUUUGCUGAAGCUAACAUAAAGGAGACUAGUUCUUGUGCUGACUGAUGCAGGAUUCACAGAGACAGCUUCGGCUGACUUUGUAAACUCGAUCUCAAAUCAAGUAAGACUACCCGCUGAACUUAAGCAUAUCAAUAAGCGGAGGA
Molecule: unclassified non-coding RNA, 430 nt
Filed under: soil metagenome
Description: partial contains 5.8S ribosomal RNA, internal transcribed spacer 2, and large subunit ribosomal RNA
Rfam family: 5.8S ribosomal RNA (bases 1-120)
Source: RNAcentral